CCUACGGGUGGCAGCAGUGAGGAAUAUUGGUCAAUGGCCGGGAGACUGAACCAGCCAAGUCGCGUGAGGGAGGAAUGUACAGUGUAUUGUAAACCUCUUUUGUCAGGGAGCAAAGACUGGCACGCGUCGCUGGUGGAGUGUACCUGAAGAAAAAGCAUCGGCUAACUCCGUGCCAGCAGCCGCGGUAAUACGGAGGAUGCGAGCGUUAUCCGGAUUUAUUGGGUUUAAAGGGUGCGCAGGCGGGUUAUUAAGUCAGCGGUAAAAGCCUGGGGCUCAACCCCGUCCAGCCGUUGAAACUGGCGAUCUUGAGUGGGCGAGAAGUAUGCGGAAUGCGCGGUGUAGCGGUGAAAUGCAUAGAUAUCGCGCAGAACUCCGAUUGCGAAGGCAGCAUGCCGGCUCCACACUGACGCUGAGGCACGAAAGCGUGGGUAUCGAACAGGAUUAGAUACCCGGGUAGUC
Molecule: ribosomal RNA, 459 nt
Filed under: uncultured bacterium
Lineage: Bacteria
Description: partial 16S ribosomal RNA
Rfam family: Bacterial small subunit ribosomal RNA
Source: RNAcentral